This 253-nucleotide ribosomal RNA is filed under the name uncultured bacterium. RNAcentral's name for it is "partial 16S ribosomal RNA". It matches the Rfam family "Bacterial small subunit ribosomal RNA", at positions 524 to 776 of the family's 1533-position model. The record is from RNAcentral.
UACGUAGGGACCAAGCGUUGUUCGGAUUUACUGGGCGUAAAGGGCGCGUAGGCGGCGCGGGAAGUCACUUGUGAAAUCUCUGAGCUUAACUCAGAACGGCCAAGUGAUACUGCAGUGCUAGAGUGUGGAAGGGGCAAUCGGAAUUCUUGGUGUAGCGGUGAAAUGCGUAGAUAUCAAGAGGAACACCUGAGGUGAAGACGGGUUGCUGGGCCAACACUGACGCUGAGGCGCGAAAGCCAGGGGAGCAAACGGG